UAUCGACGAGUUUGAUCAUGGCUCAGGAUGAACGCUAGCGGCAGGCCUAAUACAUGCAAGUCGAACGGCCCCGACACUUCGGUGUCGGGGUAGUGGCGCACGGGUGCGUAACGCGUACACAACAUACCCUUUACCUAGGGGAGUAGCGGCGGGAAACGUAGCCAGUAAUACCCCACUGUCCUUGCGAGGUGGCAUCAUUUUGUCAAAGAAAGUUCAAGCGGUAAAGGAUUGGUGUGCGUCCGAUUAGCUAGUUGGCGGGGUAACGGCCCACCAAGGCGACGAUCGGUAGGGGGUGGUGAGAGCAUGGCCCCCCGACCACGGGUACUGAGACACGGACCCGACUCCUACGGGAGGCAGCAGUAAGGAAUAUUGGACAAUGGACGGUAGUCUGAUCCAGCCAUGCCGCGUGAAGGAAGAAGGCGCUCAGCGUUGUAAACUUCUUUUGGAUGGGAAUAAUAAUGUCGACGUGCUCGGCACUUGAAGGUACCAUCAGAAUAAGCACCGGCUAACUCCGUG
RNAcentral lists this ribosomal RNA (516 nucleotides) under uncultured bacterium. RNAcentral's name for it is "bacterial SSU rRNA". It matches the Rfam family "Bacterial small subunit ribosomal RNA", at positions 1 to 507 of the family's 1533-position model. The record is from RNAcentral.